This 5276-nucleotide small RNA is filed under the name Rattus norvegicus (Norway rat). Its description in RNAcentral is "uncharacterized LOC102548661". Lineage: Eukaryota; Metazoa; Chordata; Mammalia; Rodentia; Muridae. The record is from RNAcentral.
GUGACGCUGGGUGUAGUUGGGGAAACGCGUCGUGGUUCCCCUUCAGGUUGGGAGAUUCCGAGCCCCUGGCGAGUAUGAACAAGGCUCACUGCACCUUCCUCUUUCACAAGGAUCCAGUUAUGGCUAACAGACCUGUUUCUUUCUUCCUCUCCGGCACUGCCUUCAGUCCUAGCCUUACCAGAGCCUGGUGCAGCGAUCUGAGCUGAGAUCCGCCCACCAAAGUCACUGGGAUUCUGCAGGAAACCCCCUGAGCAGUUAGCAACCACCAGUAGCUUUCUGUCCCGAGGCAGAAGGUCAGGGAAAAGGGGGAAUUCAGAGGGGUUCUCUGAAAAGCACGUUGAUAAAACAGCUAUUGUUGACUGAAGGGGUGUCCAUUACAUUGAUUAAUUGGAUAUGGCCUACUUAAACUAGACUACAGCUCCACCGUUAAUGGCUAUUGGCAAGAUGCCUUUGAAAAAUGCGGAUAAUACAGGUCGAUUACCUCUACAGGGUUACUCAGAAAUGUAACGUGUAUGCCUAAAAAGUAUUGAAUAAUGUUAGCUUGUAUUCCACGGACAAAUGGAGGAAGAAAUAGAACCUUAAAAAUAAUCCCUCUAGGUUUAAGUUAAUCUAUGCAAAACAGGCUUCAUCUUUUUUACUAACAGAGAUUACAGUUUUAUUUUAUACCUCCACUUCUUCUCUUGUACUCAUCCGUCCAGACAACAUUGUUAUAAAACCCAGCAGAGGGGACACAAUAGUCAGGGAACCAGAAAAGGUCUGCUUUCAUGGAGUUGAGGUCUAGUGGGAGAAGCACAACAACAACAACAACAACAACAACAACAAAAACCCCAAAUAUAUUUCACACUUGGAGAAGAAACAUAGAGGUUACAGGAAGAAUUUGGGGUAGCAGAUAACAGGAUCGUUUUUUGAAAGCAGAGUGGUCAAGGCUGUGCCUAUCUGAAGUGCAGAAAGAAGCCAGUAAUGGGAGAAAGGCCCCAGAGAAUUGAGUAAAGCAAAAAGAUCGUGCAAAGAACCUGCAAUAGGGAGGAGCUUGGCUUUCAGAACUGAGAGGAAUCCGUGUUGAUGAGAAAUAUAUUUUGCCUGGAGAAGCCUUACAUUAGAUUGGAGAGGGAGUUGAGAGCUCAGUUGUACAGGGCCUAGAAAUACAUAGAAACAAGACUAGCCUUUAUUCCAACUGCAGGCUGAAGCCGCUGAAUGGUAAGUAGGGAACAAAAGAGUUGAGAACAGUGAGUGGCGCUUGAAGUAUGGCGUCUAUAUUUAUAUUCUAGACAACAUAUGGACCAGAGAACCUGAUUGAGAGGUUUUUUUUUUUUUAAUCUAAGUUUGAGCCUCUUCAAUAUGGAGUUCACCAAAUAUAGUUCAGAUUGUUUAAAAAUUUGUGGGCAUCACAUAAUAUUGUGUAGAUAAAAAUAUACUCAUUUCACUGAAAAUUAUUAAAUGAUACCAUUUUCGAUUCCCCAACUCCUGCACAGGGUUAUUUGUGUAGCCCUGACUGUCCUGGAACUUGCUCCAUAGAACAGGCUAGCCUCGAACUCAGAGAUCCCCUUUCCUCCGCCUCCCUAGUUCUGAGGGGAUCACAGCCAUGCACCGCCAUGCCAGGCUUGAUAACCAUUUAUUUUUAAGCAUUUUUUUUUUGGUUCUUUUUUUCGGAGCUGGGGACCGAACCCAGGGCCUUGCGCUUCCUAGGUAAGCGCUCUACCACUGAGCUAAAUCCCCAGCCCCAUUUUUAAGCAUUUUAUAUAGCAUUUUGUUACAGUGCAUAGUUGCCUGUACUAAUCAAUAUUAUUGAUUUCAGGUAGUAUUCCAAGUUAGUCACAGUCCUAGUCAUUUUUGAUACUAUGAUCCCAAAUGUGUUUUUAAUGAAUAUUUCCCUUUGUUAUUAUUUUAUGUCCAUCCCAUGCGUGCAAUACCUGAGGACAUCAAACAAAAGCAGAAGUCUUCAGACCUGGAUGGAUCCUCCCUGCUGCCAGUGUCAUCCAUGUUUUCGUCCCCAAUGUGAGGGCAUGGCUAUCUGCCAAUCAGUGGUUGCUGGAGAGAGUCUAUAUCAUGAAGGGGUACAGGACUGGAACAUUCAUUCUUUCAGCUGCCAGGAAUUCUGACAGCCACCAGAUUUUAUCUAGGUCCUUCUACAGGACUCUCCAGGAAGAAAGCUGAUUGCCCUAGGCCACGUCCUCUUCCUGGAUGCAGAUAUAUCCGGUAACUGACAGGUAUGUAUACCAAGGCUGAUCCCCUUUUCCAGUUCUCAGUAAUCCGAAGGAUCAUGCCAGCCUGUGCUGGAUUAGUUGAGACCAUCUACUAUUUUCAGUUCAGCAGCCUGACUCGUCCCCUUUUCUAUUCCUGCCGCUCCACCUCCAUGUGUACCCAUUCUGAGGCACUUCUCCGUAAACAUUUUACAUACAAAGCCAGGAAUGAUGGCACAGGUCUAUAGCCCCAGGACUUGGGAAGCUGAGGCAGAGGACUGCAAGUUCGAGGCCAGCCCGGGCAUUAUACCACCUGAUAUCUACUAACCCUAGACAGAAACCAACAGCCAACCAUAGCAAGGAUACCACGAAAGUCCAACUUGAUAAAUCAAUUCCGUUUAUUGGGAUUGCAUACAAGAGUAUGGGUGAAGGGUUAUUUAGAAGAACAGACAUGACUCAAAAACAGCUGUGUCACCAAAGUCCACCCCAGCACAGGUGCAGCUUCUGAGAGCCUGGAGCACACUGAACAGCCUACUGGCAGUUGAACAGGUCGGAAAGUGUCCUUUCUAGGUAGCUCAGUUGAGCUGAGAAUCUUCUGGAUGGCUGGGCUAGACUCUUCUGCCUCCAGGUAGCUGGACCGACCUGAGACUCUUCUAGACAGCUUAGCUUUAGAGGGAACUUUUGAGCUCUCACCCCCCCUCUCUUCUUCCUCUCUCCCUCCCCCUCCCCCUUCCUCUCUUCCUCUCCUCCACCCGCCUCCUUGUAUACUCACGCUGCAAGCACAUGUGGAGGCAAGAAGUUGACAGCAGAUGUCUGUCUUCCUCAAUUGUGUUGAGAACCUCAGCGGUUCUCAACCUUCCUCGUGCUGCGACCCUUUCAUACAGCUGUUCACGCUGCGGUGCCCCCCAAACACAAAAUCACUCCCAUUGCUACUUCGUAACUCUAAUUUUGCUACUGUUAUGAAUCAUAAUUAAAUCUCUGUGUUUUCCCAUGGUUUUAGAUGACGCCUGUGAAAGGGUCACUGGAUCUCCAAGGCAGUUUUGCCCACAGACUGAGAACCACUGCUUUACAGCAUUUCUCAGCAGCCCUUACUGCCUAGAUAGGCUUGGGGAGGAAGUUUCAAGAACUUUCUGAAGCCUUUGAGUUGUUUAUUUCCUGAACUUAACUAACUUCCCUUCAGAAUGGAAUGUUUUACCUCUCCAUAGAACACCCUGUGUCUUAAACUUCCUUCUAAGGUGGAUGCUCCAGGAAAUUGCUACACAAUGCUGGGUUAUAAGGUAAGAUUCAAGCUACCCCAUUUGACUAACUACAUAGUAAAAAAAAAAAAAAAAACCCUGUUCCCAAACAAACCCAGCCAUGGGCGGGCCUGGUGGCACGCACUUUUAACCUUAGCAUUCGAGUGGCAGAGGCAGGUGGAUCUCUGUGAAUUUGAGGCCAGCUUGGUAUACACCAGGGAUAAAAGGCAGAAGCCAUGUGGCCCUGGGGUGUUGCAAGCCUGGUUUGUGUUCCAGCACACCCAUUUUGCAAAAAAUAAUUGACAUGCAGGGAGAGGUUCACUUUGUUUAUCCGUGUUCCUUAGUAUGGCACUGAGAUUAAGUCUAACAUCUCAAAAUAAAUCCUGUGCAAAAAUGUGUGCCACAGCACAGAUGGCACACAUGCCAGGCAGUGUGAUCUGUAUGUACAGCAUUCACAUGUGAAGUCAGUUCUCGUGUGAUCUGUAUGUACAGCAUUCAAAUGUGAAGUCAGUUCUCACUCUUGCGUUUUGAAAGCGCGGAAACCAGAGGCUGGGGAAGUAGCUCAGUGGGUAAAGUGACUGCUAUACGAGGACCUCAAUUUGGAUCCCGGUGCCCAUAUAAAAGUCAGGUGCGAUGCCUGUAAGCCUAGCACUGAAGCAAAGAACGGUGGACAAAUCUCGGAGGGCUUUCUGGCUGGACAGCCUCACCAAAAUGGUUUUGUGAGAGACAGUGCCUCAGAUCGCACAAGGUGGAAAGCAAUCGAGGAAGACGUCUGCUGUCAACCUCUUACCUGCACUCGUACAUGCAGUGAUUUCAUAUAUGCCAGAUUGUGCCUCAAAGUUGCCAUGUAGCUGAAUAUAACCUUGCCCUUUUGCUCCCCCUAUGUCUGUCUCCUGAAUGAGUGAUAGGUAUGUGACACUACACUCAGUUUUAUGUAGUGCUGGGACACGGACCUAAGGCUGUGUACAUGCUACACAAGCCUCCUACUGACUGAGCUCCAUGCCAUACCCAUGGUUAAAUUUCUUGAUGAAUUUUAUGGUUUAUUGUCUACAUAAAAAAGCGAAACGUGUUUGCUAGGCGUGGUGUUUUGUGCCUAUAAUCCCAGCAAUGAGAGACUGAAGUAGUCAGAUUGCCAGUGGUUCAAGGCUAGCCUGGACUGGAUAGUGAGUUCCAGGCUAGACAGAGCUACAGAGUAAGACUUAGUCUCAAAAACUAAAGUGUGUGUGAGGUGGCAGGGGAGAGGGAUAAAGAGCAAAGCGUUUUUAACUUUAUCUUCUUAUCAGGAAGCAGUAAGAUGACAGUUGGCAUAACCAUUUCCUCUGAUGCCAAAGCCUUGGUCAGAAUGUUUGUAGAAUGUAGACAAUCCGAGUAUGACCAUUUGGCUGAUUUAUUGAACACCAUCUCCAUCCUCUGUUUCCAUUACUACCAAGUUCCACACAGUGGGAUCAAUAUUGGAAUCGUGAAGCUCAUCAAGCUCCUGAACUUCUUCUUGAAGCUGUCCACCAUAAUUAAGACAGUCCAGAUCCCUGUGAGUAAGGACCGAAGAUCGUCUUCAUGAUUUUCAUCUUAAUUACAUUUUAUCUGUUUAUCUUGUAUGUUUGUGAAAGAUUUUGUACCAUCCUCACCCAUAUUCUUGUAAGUACCCCAGUAAAACUCAUUGGUUCAUCAAGUAGGACUUUGAAGGUAUCCUUGCUUAGGUUGGAAGUUCCUUAUUUCAGAUGAAUAGGCAAGCAUUCACUUCCCUAGAACAACAAUCUCCCAUCUUGCCUUCGGAAACAUUGGGAUUGAGACAGGAUUUCUCCGUGUAGCCUUGAACUCACUUUGUAGACCAGCCUGGCCUCAAAUUCAGAGAUCCAUCUGC